CUAAGAAUAUUCCGCAAUGGACGGAAGUCUGACGGAGCGACGCCGCGUGGAUGACGAAGGCCGAAAGGUUGUAAAGUUCUUUUGCUGGGGAAGAAUAACCGCAGGAGGGAAUGCCUGUGGGAUGACAAGAACCGGCGAAUAAGCCCCGGCCAACUACGUGCCAGCAGCCGCGGUAACACGUAGGGGGGCGAGCGUUGUUCGGAAUUACUGGGCGUAAAGGGCAUGUAGGCGGCUUGGAAAGCCUGGCGUGAAAGUCUGCAGCUUAACUGCAGGGGUGCGCUGGGAACUGCUGAGCUUGAGUGACGGAGAGGGAGCUGGAAUUCCUGGUGUAGGGGUGAAAUCUGUAGAUAUCAGGAAGAACACCGAUGGCGAAGGCAAGCCCCUGGCCGAUGACUGACGCUGAGGUGCGAAAGUGUGGGGAUCAAACAGGAUUAGAUACCCUGGUAGUCCACACAGUCAACGAUGUGCACUAGGUGCUGGGGCGGUAGCUUCGGUGCCGGAGCGAACGUGGUAAGUGCACCGCCUGGGGGAGUAUGCUCGCAAGGGUGAAACUUAAAUGAAUUGACGGGGUCAUAGCUGUUUCCU
This 585-nucleotide ribosomal RNA is filed under the name uncultured bacterium. Its description in RNAcentral is "partial 16S ribosomal RNA". It matches the Rfam family "Bacterial small subunit ribosomal RNA", at positions 355 to 1375 of the family's 1533-position model. The record is from RNAcentral.